GGGUACACGAGCGGCGAACGGGUGAGUAACACGUGGGUGAUCUGCCUCGCACUCUGGGAUAAGCCUGGGAAACUGGGUCUAAUACCGGAUAUGACCUUACAUCGCAUGGUGUUUGGUGGAAAGAUUUAUCGGUGCGAGAUGGGCCCGCGGCCUAUCAGCUUGUUGGUGGGGUAAUGGCCUACCAAGGCGACGACGGGUAGCCGGCCUGAGAGGGCGACCGGCCACACUGGGACUGAGACACGGCCCAGACUCCUACGGGAGGCAGCAGUGGGGAAUAUUGCACAAUGGGCGAAAGCCUGAUGCAGCGACGCCGCGUGAGGGAUGACGGCCUUCGGGUUGUAAACCUCUUUCGACAGGGACGAAGCGCAAGUGACGGUACCUGUAGAAGAAGCACCGGCCAACUACGUGCCAGCAGCCGCGGUAAUACGUAGGGUGCGAGCGUUGUCCGGAAUUACUGGGCGUAAAGAGCUUGUAGGCGGCUUGUCGCGUCGAUCGUGAAAACUUGGGGCUCAACCCCAAGCUUGCGGUCGAUACGGGCAGGCUUGAGUACUUCAGGGGAGACUGGAAUUCCUGGUGUAGCGGUGAAAUGCGCAGAUAUCAGGAGGAACACCGGUGGCGAAGGCGGGUCUCUGGGAAGUAACUGACGCUGAGAAGCGAAAGCGUGGGUAGCGAACAGGAUUAGAUACCCUGGUAGUCCACGCCGUAAACGGUGGGUACUAGGUGUGGGUUUCCUUCCACGGGAUCCGUGCCGUAGCUAACGCAUUAAGUACCCCGCCUGGGGAGUACGGCCGCAAGGCUAAAACUCAAAGGAAUUGACGGGGGCCCGCACAAGCGGCGGAGCAUGUGGAUUAAUUCGAUGCAACGCGAAGAACCUUACCUGGGUUUGACAUACACCGGAAACCUGCAGAGAUGUAGGCCCCCUUGUGGUCGGUGUACAGGUGGUGCAUGGCUGUCGUCAGCUCGUGUCGUGAGAUGUUGGGUUAAGUCCCGCAACGAGCGCAACCCUUAUCUUAUGUUGCCAGCGCGUAAUGGCGGGGACUCGUGAGAGACUGCCGGGGUCAACUCGGAGGAAGGUGGGGACGACGUCAAGUCAUCAUGCCCCUUAUGUCCAGGGCUUCACACAUGCUACAAUGGCCGGUACAGAGGGCUGCGAUACCGUGAGGUGGAGCGAAUCCCUUAAAGCCGGUCUCAGUUCGGAUCGGGGUCUGCAACUCGACCCCGUGAAGUUGGAGUCGCUAGUAAUCGCAGAUCAGCAACGCUGCGGUGAAUACGUUCCCGGGCCUUGUACACACCGCCCGUCACGUCAUGAAAGUCGGUAACACCCGAAGCCGGUGG
RNAcentral lists this ribosomal RNA (1335 nucleotides) under Nocardia cyriacigeorgica. Its description in RNAcentral is "bacterial SSU rRNA". It matches the Rfam family "Bacterial small subunit ribosomal RNA", at positions 85 to 1433 of the family's 1533-position model. The record is from RNAcentral. Lineage: Bacteria; Bacillati; Actinomycetota; Actinomycetes; Mycobacteriales; Nocardiaceae.